This 1349-nucleotide ribosomal RNA is filed under the name metagenome. Its description in RNAcentral is "bacterial LSU rRNA". It matches the Rfam family "Bacterial large subunit ribosomal RNA", at positions 1564 to 2925 of the family's 2925-position model. The record is from RNAcentral.
UGAGUGCGAGCGGCUACGGCCGCGAAGUGGGUGAUGUCAAGCUUCCAAGAAAAGCCCUAUACCCGUUAAGGCAUGAUGGCCUGUACCCGAAACCGACACAGGUGGGGUGGUAGAGAAUACCGAGGGGCGCGAGGUAACUCUCUCUAAGGAACUCGGCAAAAUGGCCCCGUAACUUCGGGAGAAGGGGUGCCACCGCAAGGUGGUCGCAGUGAAGAGGCCCAGGCGACUGUUUACCAAAAACACAGGUCUCCGCUAAGUCGCAAGACGAUGUAUGGGGGCUGACGCCUGCCCAGUGCCGGAAGGUUAAGGAAGCUGGUCAGCGCAAGCGAAGCUAGCGACUGAAGCCCCGGUGAACGGCGGCCGUAACGAUAACGGUCCUAAGGUAGCGAAAUUCCUUGUCGGGUAAGUUCCGACCCGCACGAAAGGCGUAACGAUCUGGGCGCUGUCUCGGAGAGAGGCUCGGCGAAAUAGAAUUGUCUGUGAAGAUGCGGACUACGUGCACCCGGACAGAAAGACCCUAUGAAGCUUUACUGUAGCUUGGUAUUGUGCCCGGGCUCUGAAUGCGCAGGAUAGGUGGGAGGCUUUGAUCCAUGGCUUGCGGGUCAUGGCGAGCCAACGGUGGGAUACCACUCUUUCAGAGCUAGGGUUCUAACGGUCACCCGUCAUCCGGGGACCGUACAGUAUCAGGUGGGCAGUUUGACUGGGGCGGUCGCCUCCUAAAAGGUAACGGAGGCGCGCAAAGGUUUGCUCAGGCUGGUUGGAAAUCAGCCGACGAGUGCAAAAGCAGAAGCAAGCUUGACUGUGAGACCUACAAGUCGAACAGGGACGAAAGUCGGCUUUAGUGAUCCGACGGUUCUGAGUGGAAGGGCCGUCGCUCAACGGAUAAAAGUUACUCUAGGAUAACAGGCUGAUCUCCCCCAAGAGUUCACAUCGACGGGGAGGUUUGGCACCUCGAUGUCGGCUCAUCGCAACCUGGGGCUGAAGUCGGUCCCAAGGGUUGGGCUGUUCGCCCAUUAAAGCGGUACGCGAGCUGGGUUCAGAACGUCGUGAGACAGUUCGGUCCAUAUCCGGUGCACGCGCAGGAACAUUGAGAGGAUUUCUCCCUAGUACGAGAGGACCGGGAGGAACGCACCUCUGGUGUGCCAGUUAUCGUGCCAACGGUAAACGCUGGGUAGCCAUGUGCGGAGUGGAUAACCGCUGAAAGCAUCUAAGUGGGAAGCCCACCUCAAGAUGAGUGUUCCCAUGGCAUAAGCCAGUAAGGUCACGGGAAGAACACCCGUUGAUAGGCUCUACGUGGAAGCCGGGUAACCGGCGGAGCGGAGGAGUACUAAUAGACCGAGGGCUUGACC